RNAcentral lists this long non-coding RNA (227 nucleotides) under Lathyrus oleraceus (garden pea). RNAcentral describes it as "Pisum sativum (pea) long non-coding RNA (PSAT_LNC027967)". The record is from RNAcentral. Lineage: Eukaryota; Viridiplantae; Streptophyta; Magnoliopsida; Fabales; Fabaceae.
UCUUUUUCUAUUUUUAUUUUUAAAUUGUUUUUUCUUUAAAAAUUAAUAGUAAUUUUAUUUUUAUCCAAAAAAUCCCAAAAUAAUUUCUAAAAUUCUCUUUUAUUUUUCUUCAUAUGAUUUUUAUUUUCCAUAUUUUAUUUCAUUAAUUUUCUAAUUUUUUUUAUGAAUUUUCUCUUUUCUCUUUUGUUGUAAUGGGUUUAAAAAUACUUUUCUGCAUUUUAAAAUUC